CCUACGGGGGGCUGCAGUGGGGAAUAUUGGACAAUGGGGGCAACCCUGAUCCAGCCAUGCCGCGUGUGUGAAGAAGGCCCUCGGGUUGUAAAGCACUUUCAGUGAGGAAGAACGCCUGGUGGUUAAUACCCAUCAGGAAUGACAUCACUCACAGAAGAAGCACCGGCUAACUCCGUGCCAGCAGCCGCGGUAAUACGGAGGGUGCGAGCGUUAAUCGGAAUUACUGGGCGUAAAGCGCGCGUAGGUGGCUUGAUAAGCCGGUUGUGAAAGCCCCGGGCUCAACCUGGGAACGGCAUCCGGAACUGUCAAGCUAGAGUGCAGGAGAGGAAGGUAGAAUUCCCGGUGUAGCGGUGAAAUGCGUAGAGAUCGGGAGGAAUACCAGUGGCGAAGGCGGCCUUCUGGACUGACACUGACACUGAGGUGCGAAAGCGUGGGUAGCAAACAGGAUUAGAUACCCCAGUAGUC
RNAcentral lists this ribosomal RNA (465 nucleotides) under Vreelandella stevensii. RNAcentral describes it as "partial 16S ribosomal RNA". It matches the Rfam family "Bacterial small subunit ribosomal RNA", at positions 338 to 795 of the family's 1533-position model. Lineage: Bacteria; Pseudomonadati; Pseudomonadota; Gammaproteobacteria; Oceanospirillales; Halomonadaceae. The record is from RNAcentral.